GGANUUGCCANUGGGCGAAAGCCUGAUGCAGCGACGCCGCGUGGGGGAUGAAGCUUUUCGGAGUGUAAACCCCUUUCGACCCGGACGAAUGCCCCGCAAGGGGACUGACGGUACGGGUAUAAGAAGCCCCGGCUAACUACGUGCCAGCAGCCGCGGUAAGACGUGGGGGGCCAGCGUUGCUCGGAAUUACUGGGUGUAAAGGGUCAGUAGGCGGUGUGGCAAGUCGGGAGUGAAAUCUCUGGGCUUAACUCAGAGACUGCUUCCGAAACUGCUGUGCUUGAGUGUGGGAGAGGCGCGUGGAAUUGCAGGUGUAGCGGUGAAAUGCGUAGAUAUCUGCAGGAACACCCGUGGCGAAAGCGGCGCGCUGGACCACAACUGACGCUGAAUGACGAAAGCUAGGGGAGCAAACAGGAUUAGAUACCCUGGUAGUCCUAGCCCUAAACGAUCAGGACUUGGGGUGCCACCCGUUCGGGUGUCGUCCCGGAGCUAACGCGUUAAGUCCUGCACCUGGGGGGUACGGUCGCAAGACUGAAACUCAAAAAAAUUGACGGA
Molecule: ribosomal RNA, 552 nt
Filed under: uncultured bacterium
Lineage: Bacteria
Description: bacterial SSU rRNA
Rfam family: Bacterial small subunit ribosomal RNA
Source: RNAcentral